CAACAUUCUCCACAACCCUAAAACCAAACCCUAGAUCCACUCAACACAUUUCUGGCCGUCACUUCUAGGGGAUUUCUCAUCUCUCUAAUCAGAUCUUCUUCCGCUAUUGAAGCAUCUUCUAGUUAAUCAAUCAUCAGCAUCUUCAUCGGCAGCUCACACAGAUACAUAGAAGGAAGAUGAGGUUCUGAAAAGAAACACUGAUUGCGUUUACUUUCUUGCUUCACCCUUAACUUGCAAAAAGUUCCUCAACAUUUAGACUCUUAGAGAGUACGUAGAAUAUGAGAUGAAGAUCCCUGGUCAUGAGUUUGAUUUUGAGCAAAUUGUUGAUGAUUUUGUUUAUAUAAAUGCCUAUUUUUGGAAUUUCGUGAGGCACACUUUCAUUCUCUCCUAUGAUGAGAAACAGAAAAUCUGGAAAGCAGUUGAGAAGCUACUUAUAGAUAACCAAGUCGAGGCAAGUAUUUUUUUCGUUUUUUAAUUAUCAGCUUUCUCUGACUAUGGUUGGUUGGAUAGAUAUGGCAAAAUGGGAUGUUUGGGUUACCGCAACAGGUAUUUUUCUUUAAACAGUUUGGGUUGUGUUAACGCAACGCGUUUAAAUUCUUUUGAGUUUUGUGAAUAGUGUAUUAGAUAAACGUAGGGAUGUGAACACACCAAGCCGAACUGGUUACCCGAGCAUGCGACCUUAUUGGCCCCUUUUUGUCGGUGAGCCGUCACGUGUUAAAUCCAUUGUUACAAAAUCAGUUGCAGAGUUCCGCCGAACCCAACCAGAUACUCGGAGUGUUCAAAAAGAUUCAUUCAUUGAAGAAUAGCUCGAGGCAAGAUUAUAAUGCACUUUACAUUUAUAACAAAACAAUUAGAAAAUUGUGAAUUUAAUUUAAAAUAACAAACCAUGGUUGAUUCUUGCAUGUUCCUCAUUCUUAGAUCAGGUGAAUUUAUUUUAAGAAUAAGAUUUAAGUUGAUAGAUAUUUUCUUAAUCGAUAAUGUAGACGGGUAGAGCAAUGGAUUGUUCCCUUUAAAUGUUGUACAAACAUCACAUUGGUUUGUCGAUUACAUGAUUCUUUAAAAUGUUUGUUUUUUCUAGACAGGUAUACCUGCUUUUUGUCAUGCAUGCAGGAAUUUAGAACUUUUUUAUAUGAUUUUUUACUAUUUGAAGGAAAAUCCAUCGCUCUUUGUGGUUGAAAUGGAGAAGAUUCAUCAAUUGAGUUUCUAUCUUUAGUUUGUUUUUGUUAUGUUUCAUUUUUUUUCUUUUCUUUUUGUGGAUGGAAAAAUAAAGUACCUAUUGAUUACAAAAUACCAUAAAUUCAUGAAAUCAAUGACCCUAAUCUGAUUAAAAAAACAAAUCAAACUGCGAAUCUUUGAGCAAUUCUGUUUGAAAUGUUUAUUUAUACUUUAACCGAGAUGAAACUUUGUGUUUAUUGUGGGCUCAGUUAUUCCAUUUGAGCUCUUCAGAUGUGUUAGACUUCUUGGAUAGAUUUCUUGCCAUGAAUCCAGACUCAAGAGUGAAUGUUGAUUGAAUUGACUUGAUGAGGAAACAAGAACUAAUUGAUGCUCCUGAAGCAAGUGUGUUGUUUUCUGGUUUGCUGACACGAAGAAAGGUACCUCUUUACUGGUCUUUGUAUGCAGCCAAAGGACUAAAUUCAGCUAGGAUAUGCGAUUUUGACUAUUAAGGAACUACACCAGCAUGAGAGAAAACAUCUUUUGCUCUUGACAUUCACCACCUUAUUUGUCUACAUAGGAUGCAGGUCCACUCAUCAUUUGAUAGAAUCAAUCAUGUUAAGAUAUUGUAGUCCAAUGUCAUUUUCUUUCCUUUUCUUUUUAGUAGAUAUUUGUUUGUGUGUACUUAUUAACAUAUUCUAUGAUGUUUAAGGCUGCAAUCGUGCUCUCUAAUAUGCGGUGCGGACUUCAUAGUUAGGGGUGUUUACCGGAUUUUCUUUGGAUUUCGAGUUUUUCGGGUCGGGUAGUUUUAGUUUUUGUCUAGAAAAAACUGAAUCGAUCACCAACCCAUUUAAAGUUCGGGUUAGUCGGAUUUGGAUCGUUCAAGCCGGGUUGUUCAAUUUUCGAGUUAUAGAUGUAAAAUGAAAUUAAAUGUUUAUUUACAAAAUAUAAUCAAAAUUCAGAUUGCUACUUUAAAAGUAUCAUCAAAGUUAUGAUGAUACUUAAAAGUUUCAAAACUUAAUGUUCUAUAUAUUAAAGAGUCCAUACAAAAAGAUUUCUAUAAGAAUAAAACUCUAAAUAGUAUCAAAACAUAAUGUUCCGUAUAUUAAAGACUCCAUACCAAAAGAUUUCUACAAGAAAAAACAAUAAAUGUUUAUUUUUAUUCGGGUUUUAUGUUUCGGGUUUUUUGGGUCAGGUUGUUUGUUUGGGUUUUUAGCCUGAAAAAAGUGACCCGAUAACCGAACUAUUGAAAUAGUGGGUUGGUCGGGUUCGGGUUUUUCUCUAAUUCUGGUUCGGGUAAAAAUGAAGAGCCAUAUUCACAGGUAAUGAUAUUUCAUCAAAUUUAGUGCAUUCAGUGUAUAAAAUAUAUAUAUACAGAAAUUUUAAUUUACCAUACAAGUAGGAUAAGGGCUUCAUGAAACCAUUAAUGGUCAUGCUCAAAAGUGUGUUGGGAUUCUGAAUGGAAUUGAUAUUGAUUAUUGGAAUAGUUAGCUACAUUAAACCGGGUUAACCUUAUUAUAAAGGCACAUCGUUACAGUUAGAAUUUGUUUUUCCUCAAAAUCUUAUGCUACUAAAACAUGUUUUUAGAAGGAUGGAUUUGAUAAUGAGGUUACUGCACUUCUCUUACUAGCUAUUGAGGUGGAGCUUCAACCUAUCCAUGAACAUAGCAACCAAUAGGAACCCAGGUUGCUGCACCUUUUAGGACAAUUUGUUACCAUUUUCCUUCAAUGAUAUGUCAAUUAGGCUUUACACUCAACUCUUCUUCAACUAAGAGAGAGAUUCGCAAUGUACCGGAUCUUAUGCACAGAGGUGAAGCCUUGCGAUUUCAGGAUGUUCCCUUUUGGGCAUGUGCAACGUGACAUUCCGGCGUGUGCAAUGUGACUGUUGGUGUGUGCAAUGCAAUUGGUCCUGUGUGUGAUUUGCCAUGCUGUUACCGGCGACUUAACGACCACCAUGGCGGCGGUGGACCUGUGUAACGCCUUCUUUCUCUCUCUUUCAACAUUCUUUUGCGCCAAAGAUGAUGUCUUUUUCUAUUAUUUGUUUCUCUGAUGUGAUGUGAUACUGUUAAACCACACAUGAAUUCUAGAGUAGGUCAAAGCACGAACCGGGGGUAGAGCUAGGGUUCCCACGAACGGAUCUCCAGUGUAAUCAUGUAAUUUGUUGUUCAUUUUGCAAUUAUUUUAGGCUCUGCAUGACUGCAUCUGAGAUUCUUCUUUCCCUAUUAAGCCUUUGUUGAUUAAGAGGUUACUCCUACAUGUUUAGUUUUUAGCUUUACUUUUGUCAAUUUCUCCUUUUUUUUAUAUUUUAUUGUGUUUUUUUAUGUAUAAUAUAAAGAUUUGUUAUUGAACAAGUAACAAUGAUUCUAUUCAUACCAUAUUUGUUGUGCUAUAAUUUGGGGCCUCAUACGAUGUUAUUCUAGAUCACAACAGAUGCUUCAUCUUCUUCUAGAUAUGAUCAAAUCAUGACAAAAUCGAAGUCUAGAUGCAUGUUCUUUUUAUUAUUUCUUUUUUUUUCUAUCAAUUGUUGUUGUUUGUUACAUCCUUUGGGUGCUUACGUUUUACUUAUUUUCCCUGCAUUCAGAAUUUUUUUUACAGAAUUAGCCACCUAUACUUCUCAACUUUGUGGUGGACUUGGUUUGUUCAACCAAAAACUUGAAGCUCUCACUAGGUAAUUAAUAUCAUUGCUUCUGUCAUAGAUACGAAUUUCGAACUAAAGAAAUUGAACUAAUUGUUUGAAUUCAUAAAUGCCAACUAUUUUUUUGAAAAUAUAAUCUUACUUUGUUCGAUCCACUUUCGGUAGACAAUUGUGCCACUCGUGUGUUUUUUGUUGACGAGUUUGCCACUUGCUUUUUUUUAUUAGGUUUUUGUUUGAAAAUUAUUUGCUUAGACGUUGAUGUAAUUUCUCAAAUAGUUUUUAGUGAAGAGGAAGCGUGAGCGCAAAAAAGAGGUAAAUUUGGUGCUUUUAUGUCUUUUCGUAAUGGAAUUUGAUCUUUUCUUUUCUUUUUGUGGCCUACAUUCUCAUGUGUUGAUUCAAUAUAAAUAUUAAUAUAUUAUAAAAAAUAUAUACUUUUAUAAAAUGUGAUAUAGGGAAACACUAUAUCCACGCCCGGCAUAAAAAGGACUAUCCUACCAGGUAUCACAACAAACAGUAUUAUUGAUGUGGCUCAUGAUCAAAUGAGUGGAAAGUGCCAUUCAAAGAUGAUGGAGAUAUGAUGUUUAUGAGGAUGAUCCGUGGCCGUGAGCCUUUCAAAAAACUAUUUUAAAAACAAUGCAUUUAUUUGUAAACAAAGUCUGAUAAUGUGGUUGUGACUACAGGAAGUUUAUUUAGUUCAAGUUGCCAAUGCAAUGAGGGCGGGAAGUAAGUUUUGCAUCAGGGAGUUGAUGCUGACAUCAAGAAAUGGAAGAGAACGUUAACCCAGAUCCAAGGUGUGCUUGCUGACGCUUCUCAGAAGGAGAUAACAAGUCCACCUGUGAAACAAUGGCUCAAUGAUCUCCAACAUCUGGCUUAUGAUAUGAUGUUUGUAUGCUUUAUAGGAGAUGAUGAGAACACAAAUGAUAUGCCAUGUGCCAGCCCUACAAGGCAGUUGGACUAUGAAGAGGAAUUGUCAAAUUCAUUGGAGCUGAGUGAUGAGUAUGCAUUUGAUGAUGAAGUUGGCAAGAGUUUGAAUCAGAUGGCUUUUGUUCCUGUAAGUGUCGUAUAUAGUUAUCAAAAUAACAUGUUCUUUUUCAAUUUUUAUGUUAACAACUUCUUCCCCUAUCAAUUAAAAUAACUUUUCUGAUUUAAACUUAAAAAUGAAACUAAAUAUAUUGUAUUU
This is a long non-coding RNA of Helianthus annuus (common sunflower), 4966 nucleotides long. RefSeq lists it as uncharacterized. The record is from RefSeq and is a predicted model, not a curated record. The transcript is spliced from 10 exons. NCBI's taxonomy places the organism in Eukaryota, Viridiplantae, Streptophyta, Magnoliopsida, Asterales, Asteraceae.